GAUGAACGCUGGCGGCGUGCCUAAUACAUGCCAGUCGAGCGAACAGACGAGGAGCUUGCUCCUCUGUCGUUAGCGGCGGACGGGUGAGUAACACGUGGAUAACCUACCUAUAAGACUGGGAUAACUUCGGGAAACCGGAGCUAAUACCGGAUAACAUGUUGAACCGCAUGGUUCAACAGUGAAAGACGGUCUUGCUGUCACUUAUAGAUGGAUCCGCGCCGCAUUAGCUAGUUGGUAAGGUAACGGCUUACCAAGGCAACGAUGCGUAGCCGACCUGAGAGGGUGAUCGGCCACACUGGAACUGAGACACGGUCCAGACUCCUACGGGAGGCAGCAGUAGGGAAUCUUCCGCAAUGGGCGAAAUCCUGACGGAGCAACGCCGCGUGAGUGAAGAAGGUCUUCGGAUCGUAAAACUCUGUUAUUAGGGAAGAACAAAUGUGUAAGUAACUAUGCACGUCUUGACGGUACCUAAUCAGAAAGCCACGGCUAACUACGUG
RNAcentral lists this ribosomal RNA (497 nucleotides) under uncultured bacterium. RNAcentral's name for it is "partial 16S ribosomal RNA". It matches the Rfam family "Bacterial small subunit ribosomal RNA", at positions 28 to 507 of the family's 1533-position model. The record is from RNAcentral.